UAUUCGGGGAGGCUUUAGCUUAAUAAAAGUGCUUGAGUUGCAUUCAGGAGAUGUGUAAUAAUGUUUCACAAGUCUUGCAA
Molecule: transfer RNA, 80 nt
Filed under: Anolis carolinensis (green anole)
Lineage: Eukaryota; Metazoa; Chordata; Lepidosauria; Squamata; Anolidae
Description: tRNA-Ala
Source: RNAcentral